Pseudopipra pipra is the source of this 511-nucleotide long non-coding RNA. RefSeq lists it as uncharacterized. The record is from RefSeq and is a predicted model, not a curated record. The transcript has 3 exons. Lineage: Eukaryota; Metazoa; Chordata; Aves; Passeriformes; Pipridae.
CCUCUUUGCUUUGUUCCAGGUGAAGAUACCCACACCAGACUUCUUGGAAAAGCUAAGGACUUCAACAUUGGGCUGGACAAGUACUCUUUGGAACUUGACAAGACUUAUCUCACACUGUCAAGUCACAGAACCACGGCCAUCCACAACAGAAGUAACAUCACAGCCCAAUUCCAGUGGAAGGCUUUUGCUACUGAGGCAGAGGAGUAUCCGCAGAAGAUCAGGCUGUGUCACAAUCUGUCUCGGCCACCCCAGGAGAUAGCAAAGGCUUUUGUGAUGAAGCGCUAUGAGGAGCUUGACCUGUACGACCGCGAGUUGGAGAAGGAGACAGCAAAGAUUCAAGCAGACCCCAUGCUGUUCUCAGAUGAUGUUUUCACCAUUGAGCCCUUGGAAGGAGAGGUUGGGCCACACUGUUCAGCUGAAAUCAAGGUGUUCUUUAAACCCCGAGAAGCCCAAGUCUAUAGAAAAGUGGCCUACUGUUCCAUCUCAGGUAUGGCUCCUUCUCCUCUUUCUC